RNAcentral lists this ribosomal RNA (265 nucleotides) under uncultured archaeon. Its description in RNAcentral is "partial 16S ribosomal RNA". It matches the Rfam family "Archaeal small subunit ribosomal RNA", at positions 714 to 982 of the family's 1478-position model. The record is from RNAcentral.
AGACGUCUACAUUAGAUACCCCCCGUAGUCCCAGCCGUAAACUAUGCGCGUUAGGUGUAUCGGUGACCACGAGUUACCGAGGUGCCGAAGGGAAACCGUGAAACGUGCCGCCUGGGAAGUACGGUCGCAAGGCUGAAACUUAAAGGAAUUGGCGGGGAGCACCACAACGGGUGGAGCCUGCGGUUUAAUUGGACUCAACGCCGGGAAGCUCACCGGAUAAGACAGCGGAAUGAUUGCCGGGCUGAAGACUCUGCAUGACUAGCUG